RNAcentral lists this ribosomal RNA (460 nucleotides) under uncultured bacterium. RNAcentral's name for it is "partial 16S ribosomal RNA". It matches the Rfam family "Bacterial small subunit ribosomal RNA", at positions 338 to 795 of the family's 1533-position model. The record is from RNAcentral.
CCUACGGGAGGCAGCAGUGAGGAAUAUUGGUCAAUGGGCGUAAGCCUGAACCAGCCAAGUCGCGUGAGGGAUGAAGGUUCUAUGGAUCGUAAACCUCUUUUAUAAGGGAAUAAAGUGUGGGACGUGUCCUAUUUUGUAUGUACCUUAUGAAUAAGGAUCGGCUAACUCCGUGCCAGCAGCCGCGGUAAUACGGAGGAUCCGAGCGUUAUCCGGAUUUAUUGGGUUUAAAGGGUGCGUAGGCGGCCUUUUAAGUCAGCGGUGAAAGUCUGUGGCCCAACCACAGAAUUGCCGUUGAAACUGGGUGGCUGGAGUAUGUUUGGGGCAGGCGGAAUGCGUGGUGUAGCGGUGAAAUGCUUAGAUAUCACGCGGAACCCCGAUGGCGAAGGCAGCCUGCCAAGCCAUGACUGACGCUGAUGCACGAAAGCGUGGGGAGCAAACAGGAUUAGAUACCCGAGUAGUC